This 761-nucleotide long non-coding RNA is filed under the name Lathyrus oleraceus (garden pea). RNAcentral describes it as "Pisum sativum (pea) long non-coding RNA (PSAT_LNC007384)". The record is from RNAcentral. Lineage: Eukaryota; Viridiplantae; Streptophyta; Magnoliopsida; Fabales; Fabaceae.
AAAUAAUAAAGCAUUAAACAAUGUAUGAGUGUAAGUGCAAAGGAACCGGCUCAUUGUAAGAAAGCCCAAGAGUAAGCUAUGUGAGGUCGAUGGCGAUGCUUAAAAAGCAAUCGACUUACAAGGGUGUAAAAAAUGGGCUCGAUAUUAAAUCGAGAAGAACAUGAUUUUUAUAGUUUUUUUAAAAAAAGGUUUUGAACUAAAUUAAAAUACAAUAACUUUACAUUAUUAACAAAAUGAACAUAUGAGUGUAAUAAAGGCAUAAACAUAAAAAGAAAUGAAAAUGCUAAAAGAAAUAAAAUGCCAAAAAAUGCCACACAUGAGUAUUGAACCCACCCCACUCAAGAAUAUGAACACUGCCCUUCUCCACUAAACCACUCAUCAUUAUCUGCUACUGAGAUACUACAUUAAAUAUAUGAACCGGGCUAAAAAACAAAAAAAUAAAUAACAUAUAAACAUUUUUAUGUUUUUUAUCUCUGUUAAAAAACAAAUUAAAUUAAAUAAUAAAAAAAAAUUAAAAAGAAGGAAAACAAGAAAAUGGAAAUGAAAAAAAAAACACAGAGGUUCGUCUUCCUCACUCUCUCUCACAUUCUCACCAGAAAAACCAUUCAAUCGCUCUCUCGCCCAUGUCGCUCAACCUCAUCUCUCAAUCUCCAUUAUUCAAACGCUCCUCACCUCACGUUUCUUUCAAUCUCUCAAUGAAUCUCUCUCGCACUCGACCUUAAGCUCAGCGAAUCAAUCUCUCUCAACUCUCACAACAUUUU